GACGAACGCUGGCGGCGUGCCUAACACAUGCAAGUCGAGCGGUAAGGCCCUUUCGGGGGUACACGAGCGGCGAACGGGUGAGUAACACGUGGGUGACCUGCCCUCAGCUCUGGGAUAAGCCCGGGAAACUGGGUCUAAUACCGGAUAUGACUCCAUGACGCAUGUUGUGGGGUGGAAAGCCUUGUGCGGCUGAGGAUGGGCCCGCGGCCUAUCAGCUUGUUGGUGGGGUGANGGCCUACCAAGGCGACGACGGGUAGCCGGCCUGAGAGGGCGACCGGCCACACUGGGACUGAGACACGGCCCAGACUCCUACGGGAGGCAGCAGUGGGGAAUCUUGCGCAAUGGGCGAAAGCCUGACGCAGCGACGCCGCGUGAGGGAUGACGGCCU
RNAcentral lists this ribosomal RNA (388 nucleotides) under uncultured bacterium. RNAcentral's name for it is "bacterial SSU rRNA". It matches the Rfam family "Bacterial small subunit ribosomal RNA", at positions 28 to 417 of the family's 1533-position model. The record is from RNAcentral.